UGCAAGUCGAACGGCAGCACGGGGGCAACCCUGGUGGCGAGUGGCGAACGGGUGAGUAAUAUAUCGGAACGUACCCGGAAAUGGGGGAUAACGUAGCGAAAGUUACGCUAAUACCGCAUAUGCCCUAAGGGGGAAAGCGGGGGAUUCGCAAGAACCUCGCGUUUUCGGAGCGGCCGAUGUCGGAUUAGCUAGUAGGUGAGGUAAAGGCUCACCUAGGCGACGAUCCGUAGCUGGUCUGAGAGGACGACCAGCCACACUGGAACUGAGACACGGUCCAGACUCCUACGGGAGGCAGCAGUGGGGAAUUUUGGACAAUGGGCGCAAGCCUGAUCCAGCCAUGCCGCGUGAGUGAAGAAGGCCUUCGGGUUGUAAAGCUCUUUCAGCCGGAAAGAAAACGCACGGGAUAAUACCCCGUGUGGAUGACGGUACCGGAAGAAGAAGCACCGGCUAACUACGUGCCAGCAGCCGCGGUAAUACGUAGGGUGCGAGCGUUAAUCGGAAUUACUGGGCGUAAGGCGUGCGCAGGCGGUUUUGUAAGACAGAUGUGAAAUCCCCGGGCUUAACCUGGGAACUGCAUUUGUAACUGCAAGGCUAGAGUACGGCAGAGGGGGGUAGAAUUCCACGUGUAGCAGUGAAAUGCGUAGAUAUGUGGAGGAAUACCGAUGGCGAAGGCAGCCCCCUGGGUCGAUACUGACGCUCAUGCACGAAAGCGUGGGGAGCAAACAGGAUUAGAUACCCUGGUAGUCCACGCCCUAAACGAUGUCAACUAGGUGUUGGGGGAGGAGACUUCCUUAGUACCGCAGCUAACGCGUGAAGUUGACCGCCUGGGGAGUACGGUCGCGAGAUUAAAACUCAAAGGAAUUGACGGGGACCCGCACAAGCGGUGGAUUAUGUGGAUUAAUUCGAUGCAACGCGAAAAAY
Molecule: ribosomal RNA, 921 nt
Filed under: uncultured bacterium
Lineage: Bacteria
Description: bacterial SSU rRNA
Rfam family: Bacterial small subunit ribosomal RNA
Source: RNAcentral